AGCCCAAACCGAACCCUUGUGGUUCGGGGUUGUAGGACUGAACAUUUGAGUUACAAAAGUAUUUGAUAGUUGAAGUAGUUGGGAAGCUACACCAAAGAGAGUGAUAGUCUCGUAAACGAAAUCGAAUACCCUCAGUUCAGGAUCCUGAGUACGGCGACACACGUGAAACGUCGUCGGAAUCUGGGAGGACCAUCUCCCAAGGCUAAAUACUCCCUAGUGACCGAUAGUGAACCAGUACCGUGAGGGAAAGGUGAAAAGCACCCCGGAAGGGGAGUGAAAUAGUUCCUGAAACCAUGUGCCUACAAGCAGUCAGAGCCCGUUAAUGGGUGAUGGCGUGCCUCUUGUAGAAUGAACCGGCGAGUUACAGUUGCAUGCAAGGUUAAGCCGAAAAAGCGGAGCCGUAGCGAAAGCGAGUCUUAAUAGGGCGCCAUAGUAUGUUGCCGUAGACCCGAAACCAGGUGAUCUACCCAUGUCCAGGAUGAAAGUGCGGUAAUACGCACCGGAGGUCCGAACCCGUGUACGUUGAAAAGUGCUGGGAUGAGGUGUGGGUAGCGGUGAAAUUCCAAACGAACUUGGAGAUAGCUGGUUCUCUCCGAAAUAGCUUUAGGGCUAGCCUCGGAAUUAGAAUCAUGGAGGUAGAGCCACUGUUUGAGCAAGGGGUCCAUCUAGGAUUACUGAGUUCAGAUAAACUCCGAAUACCAUUGAUUUAUGUCCGGGAGUCAGACGAUGAGUGAUAAGAUCCAUCGUCGAAAGGGGAACAGCCCAGACCGCCAGUUAAGGUCCCUAAAUAUAUGCUAAGUGGAAAAGGAAGUGGAGUUGCAUAGACAACUAGGAUGUUGGCUCAGAAGCAGCCACCAUUUAAAGAGUGCGUAAUAGCUCACUAGUCGAGUGAUUCUGCGCCGAAAAUUUACCGGGGCUAAGCAUAUUACCGAGACUGCGGACGCAACUAUGUUGCGUGAUAGGAGAGCGUUCUAAGGGCAAUGAAGGUAGACCGUAAGGACUACUGGAGCGCUUAGAAGUGAGAAUGCCGGUAUGAGUAGCGAAAGAUCAGUGAGAAUCUGAUCCACCGAAUGACUAAGGUUUCCUGGGGAAGGCUCGUCCACCCAGGGUUAGUCGGGACCUAAGCCGAGGCUGAGAAGCGUAGGCGAUGGAUAACAGGUUGAGAUUCCUGUACUAGUUAAUUAUGUUUGAACGAUGGAGGGACGCAGUAGGCUAAGAUAUGCACACGAUUGGAAAUGUGUGUUCAAAUCGUAAGUCAGUUUAAGAGU
This 1268-nucleotide ribosomal RNA is filed under the name Fructilactobacillus sanfranciscensis. RNAcentral's name for it is "partial 23S ribosomal RNA". It matches the Rfam family "Bacterial large subunit ribosomal RNA", at positions 266 to 1536 of the family's 2925-position model. Lineage: Bacteria; Bacillati; Bacillota; Bacilli; Lactobacillales; Lactobacillaceae. The record is from RNAcentral.